This 497-nucleotide ribosomal RNA is filed under the name uncultured bacterium. RNAcentral's name for it is "partial 16S ribosomal RNA". It matches the Rfam family "Bacterial small subunit ribosomal RNA", at positions 28 to 507 of the family's 1533-position model. The record is from RNAcentral.
GAUGAGCGCUGGCGGCGUGCCUAAUACAUGCAAGUCGAGCGAACGGACGAGAAGUUUGCUUCUCUGAUGUUAGCGGCGGACGGGUGAUUAACACGUGGAUAACCUACCUAUAAGACACUGAUCACUUCGGGACACCCGAGCUAAUACCGGAUAAUAUUUUGAACAGCAUGCUUCCCACGUGAAAGACGGUCUUGCUGUCACUUAUAGAUUGCUCAGCGCUGCAUCAGCUAGUUGGUAAGGUAACGGCUUACCAAGGCAACGAUGCAUAGCCGACCCGAGAGGUUGGUCGGACACACUGGAACUGAGGCACGGCCCAGACUCUUACAGGAAGCAGCAGUAGAGAAUCUUCCGCAAGGGACGAGAGCCUGACGGUGCAAAGCCGCGUGAGUGAUGAAGUACCUCGGAUCGUAAAGCGCUGUUAUUAGUGAAGAACAUAUGUGUAAGUAACUGUGCACAUCUUGACGGUACCUAAACAGGAAGCCACGGCUAACUACGUG